This 4931-nucleotide long non-coding RNA is filed under the name Gossypium barbadense (sea-island cotton). RNAcentral describes it as "long non-coding RNA (GBAR_LNC001788)". The stretch from base 775 to 911 matches the Rfam family "MIR7502 microRNA precursor family". Lineage: Eukaryota; Viridiplantae; Streptophyta; Magnoliopsida; Malvales; Malvaceae. The record is from RNAcentral.
GAGUAACUCUUGUUUUAUAAUUUAUAUAGAACUUGAAAGAGUAAGGGAUUACCUGCGAAAAUAAUGAGACCAUCAGAGGCAACCCUGGCCAACUCAAGCAGAGUCUUGUUCAGGUAUUUUGGAGAUAAGUAAUCAAGUGCAUCAGACACAAUAACAAGAGAAAAAGACUUUGGCUUAUAGGGAAGAGGGUACUUGAUAUCUGCCACACGUACAAUCCCUUUGCCCACAAGACUCUUGCAACUUUCUUCAACAUCCUCUAUAUCAUAUGGUUCCACACCCCAGGCUUCAGUAUCCUCUUCUUUCAAAAGUUUAGAGACAACUGAACAGGUAUCGGGUCCUACAUGCAAAACCUUGUGCAUGCUGUCCCCAUAUGCCUUCUUCAAAAAUGGUAUUGCCCUCUGAACUUCUAGACUGCAUGUAUAGUCACCUACAAAGAUAACAAGAAAUAAUUGAUUUUCAGAACAUUACACUCAAUGAAAACACACCCUUAACAGAGCAUGGCAAAUCCAUUAUAAUCAUAAACUUUCAGUCUUCCAUUUAUCACAGAAGAUGCAAACCAUAUCUAACUAAUAAAACCACCUCUGAUAAUCCCUUUUAUUCCUCGUGCCAAAAUUAAAUAAAAUCCCACCUUAUCUUUCAACUUUCCUUCCUCUAAGAAGUUAAAAGUAUCAUGGAAACCCCUAUACUAAGAGUCAUAUUGCAUUUUGCUCCCUCUACUAAAAAAUAGGCAAAUUAGUCACUGUUUAUUCGAUCAAAGAGCAAAUUGGUCUUUUCUUUUAAAAAUUUCAUCCCUUUGUAUUGUUAAAAACUAACAUGGAUAAAAGAAUAACUAGAUAGCGACACAUACGUGUACGUCCUGUUGACGUACAAGAACUAGUUUUUAAAGGUAAAAAUAGAUGAAAUUUUUUAUAAAAGGACCAAUUUGCUCUUUGAUUUAACGUAUAAGGACUAAUUUGCCCCUUUUUUUUCGUAUAGGGGCCAAAAUGAAAUCCAACUUCUAGUAUAGGGGCUUCUAUGAUACUUUUAACCCUCUAGAAAGCACUUCAGGAGAAGAUUAUGACAAAUUAUAAGAGAUUAUUCUAUGGUACAAGUAUCAAAUGCAAGAAAGCUCCAUAACCUUGAGAUGCAGAAUAAGGCCUCUAAGAUCAAUAUUUUUUUUUGUCCAAAAUAUUCUCUCCAAUGAAUAAAAAUAUCUUAUAUAUAUGCUCUCGGAUACAUAUGUGCAUUGAAUCUUAACUAAAUUUGAUAUAACAUGUGAACUCAUCCUCCCAAUUUAUCUACUCUACCAAACAAAGCAUUAAUGAAUCCAAUAAAUAUUCAAGUAGUUCCAAAGAGACAUGAUGACAUCAAAAUCAAAUAAAAAUCAGUAACUUAACGAGUUAAUUUCAUUAUGAACAUUAAAUCCAAUGAAGAAGAAAGUAAAAGCAUAACUUACCUUCGAUCCGACUAACCGCUUCACCUCGGAAUUUACCUAUAAACGCGAACAGUAUGAACAGUGUGAACAAUUAAUUGAACUAACAAGAUCAGCAUAUCCAACAAACAAAAACAAGUAAACACAAAUAAGAAAUUCUAAAAAAAAAGAAGAAUACCUGAACCACUAUAGGCAUAGCCAAUGAGAAGGAUAGCUCCCUGUAAACCAUUUUCAAAAAUAUUACCCUAGUUAAUUUCCUUUUCAAAAUGUAACACUAACUGAAAAUUUCAAAAAACAAAAAAGAAAUGAAAAGAUAAAGAUAUACCACAACGACAAGAGCGAUAGAUAAAAUAGGAGAAGAUCGGGCUUUAGAAUGUAAAGCACCAGAGAACGGGAAGUUUCCGCUGUCAACAAAGCGGCGUGUGGAACUUACUUGCCUCCUUGACAUUUUUGCUUUGCUUUUUACUCUUAUAAUAAUAUAUUUUAUGUAAUUGCUUACACUCUACCAAGCAAACAACAGAUUUACACAAAAUUUGAGCAAUUUCAUUGAAAAAACAAAACAGAUCCAAAAACAUGAGAAAGCUAACAUAAAAUGAAAGAAAUUAUGAAAUCAAAAAUCAAAAUUCACCUUAGAUUUGGAUUUUGGAUCUGAGAUCUGUGAAGGAAAAAAAGAAGCUUAUUUGGCUGUUUUUUUUCUUCGAACAGUAUACUAGUUUGAAUUUACACCAUUUUUGGCCAAAAAAGAGAAUUUAACAGCUAGUCGAGUUUGAAAGGGACUUGGGUUGGAUUGGAUACUCAGUAUUUUUAUUUUUAUUUUCAAUUUUUUUAAUUAAAUUUGUUUUUGCUUAAAGCUAAGAUCCAACGUGUUUUAGCGCGCCUUCGGGAGUUGUGUGAUACAUAUACAUAUACAGUUAUUAGCGCGUCGGUGAUAUGAUACGACGUCGCAUCAAUAGCUCGAAUAGCAAUGACGGCUAUUAGAUUUAAGGAUACCCUGCAAGUAAAAUAACAUUUCCUUCAAAAAAAAAUUAUAAAGUAAUUAUUAAAUUAUUUAAAACUUUUCGUUUAGAUAACUGGACUGUCAAAAUUUUUGUUGUUUAGUUUUCUAUUUGCAUAGCAUUUAUCAAUUGAAAAUUUUUAUUCCUCUUAUUUUUUACAGUUCAAUUUUUUUUUAUGAAAUAACUUUGAACGUAAUAAAUUUGAGAAUCAAAAUUCAACUAAUUUUUUUCUCCAGUCUUUGAAACUAACCAUCCGAUCGACUUAUAUCUAAAGUAUGUUCUACUCAUUAAUGAGUAUUAAUCACUACAUCGAUCAUUGAAUUUAUUAUUUGGAGUUCACUAAUAAUCCAAUGACAUAAAGAAAAACUUUUGAACAGAUCGAUUUUCUGCAUACUGGCUUGAAAGUGAUAGCAAAAUUUUGUUGCCCCAAUGGCAUGUUGAGCUUGAAAUGAAGAAAUAAAAAUCAAUGAAUCAUGUGCAAAACAUUUUGAAAUCAAAGUUAAAAGCAAUCUUAAAAUAAUCUAAAAGUUAAUACAUGCCAAUGAGUGCCAAUUACAAUACCAAUUGGAAAUAUAGACUACCUUGUCUCAUUUCAUGUUACGAGUUAUUUGAAGAGAAGACAAAUAGAAAUAUGGGUAAUCUCAUAAUAGGAAGCUAGAUUUACUUCCACAUUCAGAAAACAAUAUAACUAAAUAAAUCCAUGUCCACAACAAAUAGGUGUAAUUUUCCCCAUCGAUUGAAUUAAUAAAUAUCAAACCUGUAAUGUUAAGGGCAUUAACCCAUUGAUACCAACAUCUCUUUUACCAAAUUUAGUUCCCCAACAGAGUUACAUGUUGUAUGAGAGCUGAAGAUAUUUUUACUUCACCGUCAAUGCAUAUGACAAUAAAAAUAAUGGAAAUUUGAUCUUGAUGACUUUUCUCUUUGUAUCAGUGGUAUGGAUUUAGGUGGAAUACUUGACAUGCUGGCAGGUAUGAACUCUUUGAUGUAGCCUGCUCAAACUUCUUCACCGCAGUUUCAUUUUCUUUUAAACUACUUUGGUCGAAAAAACGAAUCCACCAAGAGGAACUCCGCAUUUUAGCCUUCAGAAACGAAACAGAUGUGUUAAUGAUAAGGUAAAUUUGAUCUUGAUACAUUCCGCAAAACAAAAAUGCUGAAUGACAGUUUUGAUUUUCGAUCAAAUGAAAGUUAAAUAUAUACUAUGGUUCGUUUAAAUUCCAAAUCCUGUUGUUAUAGUAGAUGGAGACUUACUGGACGGCCGAAUUUCGAUAGUUCUGCCACUUUAGCCUUCUGAUGACCAGGGGUACCUGAUCGACAAAUGAAAAUAUAUCAUGUUAUAGUUAUGGUACAGCUUUUUUGCAAGAAAAUAUAUCUGGAUAUAAGCAUUUUCGGCCCGAGUAACUCUUGUUUUAUAAUUUAUAUAGAACUUGAAAGAGUUAGGGAUUACCUGCGAAAAUAAUGAGACCAUCAGAGGCAACCCUGGCCAACUCAAGCAGAGUCUUGUUCAGGUAUUUUGGAGAUAAGUAAUCAAGUGCAUCAGACACAAUAACAAGAGAAAAAGACUUUGGCUUAUAGGGAAGAGGGUACUUGAUAUCUGCCACACGUACAAUCCCUUUGCCCACAAGACUCUUGCAACUUUCUUCAACAUCCUCUAUAUCAUAUGGUUCCACACCCCAGGCUUCAGUAUCCUCUUCUUUCAAAAGUUUAGAGACAACUGAACAGGUAUCGGGUCCUACAUGCAAAACCUUGUGCAUGCUGUCCCCAUAUGCCUUCUUCAAAAAUGGUAUUGCCCUCUGAACUUCUAGACUGCAUGUAUAGUCACCUACAAAGAUAACAAGAAAAUAAUUGAUUUUCAGAACAUUACACUCAAUGUAAUACACCCUUUCCAGAGCAUGGCAAUUCCAUUAUAAUCAUAGACUUUCAAUGUUCCAGUUACCACGGAAGACACAAACCAUAUCUAACUAAUAUAACCGCCUCUGAUAUCUUACAACUUACUUUCCUCUAAAAAGUUAAAAGCAUCAAAGGAUUCAUAUUACAUUUUGCUCCUUCUACUGCAAAAAUAGGCAAAUUAGUCACUAUAUAUUAGAUCAAAAAGCAAAUUGGUCCUUUCUUUUAAAAAUUCCAUCCUUUGUAUUGUUAAAAACUGACAUGGCUGAAAUAAUUAGACAGUGACACGAGGCACUAUCAAAGGAAAGAAAGUCCCAUAACCUUGAGAUGCAGAAGCAAGGCCUCUAAGAUCAAUAUUUUUUUUGUCCAAAAUAUUAUCUCCAAUGAAUAAAAAUAUCUUAUAUAUACGCUCUCGGAUGCAUAUGUGCAUUGAAUCUUAACUAAAUUUGAUAUAACAUGUGAACUCAUCCUCCCAAUUUAUCUACUCUACCAAACAAAGCAUUAGUGAAUCCACUAAAAUAUUCAAGUAGUUCCAAAGAGACAUGAUGACGUCAAAAUCAAAUAAAAAUCAAUAACUUAACGAGUUAAUUUCAUUAUGAACAUUAAAUCCAAUGAGGAAGAAAGUAAAAGCAUAACUUACC